This 1887-nucleotide ribosomal RNA is filed under the name human gut metagenome. Its description in RNAcentral is "bacterial LSU rRNA". It matches the Rfam family "Bacterial large subunit ribosomal RNA", at positions 3 to 1977 of the family's 2925-position model. The record is from RNAcentral.
UCAAGCUGGAAAGAGCGCAAGGGGAAUGCCUUGGCAUCAGGAGCCGAAGAAGGACGUGACAAGCUGCGAAAAGCCUCGGGGAGGAGCAAAUAUCCAUUGAUCCGGGGAUAUCCGAAUGGGGCAACCCGGCUGGACAAUAUCCAGUCAUCCUGCGUUGAACAAAAUAGGCGUAGGAAGGGAACCGCCUGAACUGAAACAUCUAAGUAGGGCGAGGAAGAGACAUCAACCGAGAUUCCGCAAGUAGUGGCGAGCGAACGCGGAAGAGGCCAAACCGAGGGAUUUAUUCCUCGGGGUUGCGGACAGUCAUUUAGCGGAAGUUAUCUAGGAGAAGGGUCUGGGAAGGCCCGCCACAGAGGGUGAGAGCCCCGUAUCCGAAAGAGAAGGCCGUGCGACUGAAUCCAGAGUACCGCGGGACACGUGAAACCCCGUGGGAAACAGGGGGGACCACCCUCCAAGCCUAAAUACUACCUGAUGACCGAUAGAGGAGCAGUACCGUGAGGGAAAGGUGAAAAGGACCCCGGGAGGGGAGUGAAAGAGAACCUGAAACCUUGUGCUUACAAGCUGUCAAAGCACGUUAAAGUGUGAUGGCGUACUUUUUGUAGAACGGUCCGGCGAGUUAUAGUAACGAGCGAGCUUAAGGCAUUCAGUGCCGGAGGCGAAGCGAGAGCGAGUCUGAAUAGGGCGUAAAGUUCGUUGCCAUAGACCCGAAACCGGGUGACCUACCCAUGAGCAGGUUGAAGUGGGGGUGAAACCCCAUGGAGGACCGAACCGACCCCCGUUGCAAUGGUGGCGGAUGACUUGUGGGUAGCGGUGAAAUUCCAAUCGAACUCGGAGAUAGCUGGUUCUCCCCGAAAUAGCUUUAGGGCUAGCGUUGGCUUAGAUUACCGGAGGUAAAGCACUGAAUGGGCUAGGGGCCGAUAAGGUUACUGAACCCUAUCAAACUCUGAAUGCCGGAUAAUUGAUGGCCAGCAGUCAGUCUACGUGAGAUAAGUCUCGUGGACAAAAGGGAAACAGCCCAGACCCACAGCUAAGGUCCCAAAGAUACGCUAAGUGGAAAACGAUGUGGAGUUGCGAAAACAACCAGGAUGUUGGCUUAGAAGCAGCCACUCAUUAAAAGAGUGCGUAAUAGCUCACUGGUCGAGUGACUCUGCGCGGAAAAUAUAACGGGGCUAAGCGUAACACCGAAGCUUGGGCUGCACAGCAAUGUGCGGGGUAGGGGAGCGUCGAAUAUGGGGUGAAGUCGCAGCGGAAGCAGCGGUGGACUGUAUUCGAGUGAGAAUGCCGGAAUGAGUAGCGAGAAUUAUGUGGGAAUCAUAAUGGCCGAAAAUCUAAGGUUUCCUGGGGAAGGUUCGUCCGCCCAGGGUAAGCCGGGAGCUAAGGCGAGGCCGAAAGGCGUAGUCGAUGCACAUACGGUUGAAAUUCCGUAGCCACCGAACCUUAAGUACACUGACACAUAGAGAUAGCGGGACCCGGGCGUUGGUUGACCCGGGCGUAAGGGACCGAACUUUAGUAGGGAAGUCCGCGAUGCUCUGUGGCGAGAAAAGGUGUAUGGUAUGCUAAGGUGCCCGUACCGCAAACCGACACAGGUAGAUGAGGAGAGAAUCCUAAGGCCAACGGGAGAAGGGUUGUUAAGGAACUCGGCAAGUUGACCCCGUAACUUCGGAAUAAGGGGAGCCUCGAAAGAGGCCGCAGUGAAAAGGCCCAAGCAACUGUUUACCAAAAACACAGGUCUAUGCUAAAUCGAAAGAUGACGUAUAUGGGCUGACGCCUGCCCGGUGCCGGAAGGUUAAGAGGAGAUGUCAGCGCAAGCGAAGCAUUGAAUUGAAGCCCCGGUAAACGGCGGCCGUAACUAUAACGGUCCUAAGGUAGCGAAAUUCCUUGUCGGGU